This 69-nucleotide transfer RNA is filed under the name Herpele squalostoma. Its description in RNAcentral is "tRNA-Asp". Lineage: Eukaryota; Metazoa; Chordata; Amphibia; Gymnophiona; Herpelidae. The record is from RNAcentral.
AAGAUGUUAGUAAAUACAUUACAUCUCCUUGUCAAGAAGAAAUAACGACCUAACCCCUCGUACAUCUUA